Molecule: long non-coding RNA, 675 nt
Organism: Homo sapiens (human)
Lineage: Eukaryota; Metazoa; Chordata; Mammalia; Primates; Hominidae
Product: long intergenic non-protein coding RNA 1122
Source: Ensembl
CUGAGGAGCCGGCUGCAGGGCGGUGAUUCGCCCCCGGGAUGGUGGCGGCGAUUCCGUGCGCCUUCCUGCAGUUGGACAUCAGUUAUAUUUCAGGCUUUCAAAGUAAACGACGAACUCAGCACUUUGGCAGAGUCCAAAAUCCGCCAGCGAACUUGGGUGCUAGAGUUCGGCGGGAAGAAAAGCGCCCGGGCUGCGCCGACCGCCGGCCCCGAGCCGCCGCGGGCUCCGAGGAGUCGGCCGAGCUGCUCCCGCGCCCUGGCCGGACGUUUGAAACUAUUGCUUUGCUGAAAACAUCUGACUGCCAGGCUAGGAUGUGACACUUAAGGGACUUACCAAUUUGGGAUUCUUCCAGGAGCUGAAAACUGAUUGCAAAUAUGAAACAGAUUUCACUACAGGACUUGAACCCUACAUUAAAAAACAACAAGCUCCCCAAAAUAAUUGAAAAAGAUCUUCACCAAAGAGUAGCUGCAAUGUGAAUGGCAGGAUAUGAAGCAAGUAAGAGAUGGUGAAAAGAUUAUCUUAAGCUUGGAAUUAAGUGAUGAAAGGGACCUUCGAAAUUAUCAACUCUAAAUACUUCUUUACAGGAAAAUUGAAAGCAGUUAAGAACCUGCCCCCUACCGUGGAGUUCUUGGUGCCGUGAGUUGGAGUUCUUGGUGCCUGGGUGCGUCCCCAAGG